This is a non-coding RNA of Misgurnus anguillicaudatus (oriental weatherfish), 767 nucleotides long. The record is from RefSeq and is a predicted model, not a curated record. NCBI's taxonomy places the organism in Eukaryota, Metazoa, Chordata, Actinopteri, Cypriniformes, Cobitidae.
UUCCUUAAAUUCGUGGUUACUUUAUUGAAAUUAGUUCACAGGGAUGUUAAUUCAGUUGUCAGUAUAUGUCGAUACGACUAAUAAAUGAUCAAUUUGAAUGUUUAUCGUUUGUUAGUAAUGUUAGCUCGAGCGCUGUCAGCUUGACUGAGCUCGUCGCGCAGGUGACGCGCAGGUCAGUUAGAAAUCUUUUAUUUGUCUUUAUAUCUUCUAUAUAAUCGUGUUAUGCUUGUUUUUAAAUGUAUUGUAAAUUGUUUAGUUAAUUAUAAUGCAAGUUUACUCCAAGUAUUGUAGUGUGGGCUUUUUCAGCUUACGGCUAGCCUGAUUGAGCUCGUGGCACAGCUGUGAGCUAGCAGUUAACAUCCUUUUCUUGGUGUGUCUUGAUGUUUUCUAUUGGCUAAAGACAAUAAAAGCAUAGAGAUAUAUAAAGCAAAGACAACUAUAAGAGAAUCCUUCAGGGGCCAGUAAAACAUCUACAGUUACAGCAGUAAACAUACUUGUUAUGGGGUAAGAAAAACUAGUACAGUGUAGAUAUGAAUUAUGGUAUCCUAAGCACUUCUCUUAUUAUUGCUUCUGUCUUGUUCUUCAUUUUUUGUAGUGCAAAUAAGGAGACUUCGAGUAAGUAUAAAUUGAGCUUUUAGUACUGACGUGAAUAUUACAUCGCCAUUCGUUUGAAAGAAAUAGAAAAGCGCUACGUUUUAUUUUGUACCACCAAACUUGCUCGUAUAACUACGAUAAUAAUACUUUUUCUGAUGCUGCUGUUUACUCCA